This 2899-nucleotide ribosomal RNA is filed under the name Klebsiella pneumoniae. RNAcentral describes it as "23S ribosomal RNA". It matches the Rfam family "Bacterial large subunit ribosomal RNA". Lineage: Bacteria; Pseudomonadati; Pseudomonadota; Gammaproteobacteria; Enterobacterales; Enterobacteriaceae. The record is from RNAcentral.
UUAAGCGACUAAGCGUACACGGUGGAUGCCCUGGCAGUCAGAGGCGAUGAAGGACGUGCUAAUCUGCGAAAAGCGUCGGUAAGGUGAUAUGAACCGUUAUAGCCGGCGAUGUCCGAAUGGGGAAACCCAGUGCAAUUCGUUGCACUAUCGUUAACUGAAUACAUAGGUUAACGAGGCGAACCGGGGGAACUGAAACAUCUAAGUACCCCGAGGAAAAGAAAUCAACCGAGAUUCCCCCAGUAGCGGCGAGCGAACGGGGAGCAGCCCAGAGUCUGAAUCAGCUUGUGUGUUAGUGGAACGGUCUGGAAAGUCCGACGGUACAGGGUGAUAGUCCCGUACACCAAAAUGCACAGGCUGUGAACUCGAAGAGUAGGGCGGGACACGUGGUAUCCUGUCUGAAUAUGGGGGGACCAUCCUCCAAGGCUAAAUACUCCUGACUGACCGAUAGUGAACCAGUACCGUGAGGGAAAGGCGAAAAGAACCCCGGCGAGGGGAGUGAAAAAGAACCUGAAACCGUGUACGUACAAGCAGUGGGAGCACCUUCGGGUGUGACUGCGUACCUUUUGUAUAAUGGGUCAGCGACUUAUAUUCUGUAGCAAGGUUAACCGUAUAGGGGAGCCGCAGGGAAACCGAGUCUUAACUGGGCGUUAAGUUGCAGGGUAUAGACCCGAAACCCGGUGAUCUAGCCAUGGGCAGGUUGAAGGUUGGGUAACACUAACUGGAGGACCGAACCGACUAAUGUUGAAAAAUUAGCGGAUGACUUGUGGCUGGGGGUGAAAGGCCAAUCAAACCGGGAGAUAGCUGGUUCUCCCCGAAAGCUAUUUAGGUAGCGCCUCGUGAACUCAUCUUCGGGGGUAGAGCACUGUUUCGGCUAGGGGGUCAUCCCGACUUACCAACCCGAUGCAAACUACGAAUACCGAAGAAUGUUAUCACGGGAGACACACGGCGGGUGCUAACGUCCGUCGUGAAGAGGGAAACAACCCAGACCGCCAGCUAAGGUCCCAAAGUCAUGGUUAAGUGGGAAACGAUGUGGGAAGGCACAGACAGCCAGGAUGUUGGCUUAGAAGCAGCCAUCAUUUAAAGAAAGCGUAAUAGCUCACUGGUCGAGUCGGCCUGCGCGGAAGAUGUAACGGGGCUAAACCAUGCACCGAAGCUGCGGCAGCGACACUAUGUGUUGUUGGGUAGGGGAGCGUUCUGUAAGCCUGCGAAGGUGUGCUGUGAGGCAUGCUGGAGGUAUCAGAAGUGCGAAUGCUGACAUAAGUAACGAUAAAGCGGGUGAAAAGCCCGCUCGCCGGAAGACCAAGGGUUCCUGUCCAACGUUAAUCGGGGCAGGGUGAGUCGACCCCUAAGGCGAGGCCGAAAGGCGUAGUCGAUGGGAAACAGGUUAAUAUUCCUGUACUUGGUGUUACUGCGAAGGGGGGACGGAGAAGGCUAUGUUAGCCGGGCGACGGUUGUCCCGGUUUAAGCAUGUAGGCUGGUUGUCCAGGCAAAUCCGGAUAAUCAAGGCUGAGGUGUGAUGACGAGGUACUACGGUGCUGAAGUAACAAAUGCCCUGCUUCCAGGAAAAGCCUCUAAGCAUCAGGUAACAUCAAAUCGUACCCCAAACCGACACAGGUGGUCAGGUAGAGAAUACCAAGGCGCUUGAGAGAACUCGGGUGAAGGAACUAGGCAAAAUGGUGCCGUAACUUCGGGAGAAGGCACGCUGGUGUGUAGGUGAAGUCCCUGCGGAUGGAGCUGAGACCAGUCGAAGAUACCAGCUGGCUGCAACUGUUUAUUAAAAACACAGCACUGUGCAAACACGAAAGUGGACGUAUACGGUGUGACGCCUGCCCGGUGCCGGAAGGUUAAUUGAUGGGGUUAUCCGUAAGGAGAAGCUCUUGAUCGAAGCCCCGGUAAACGGCGGCCGUAACUAUAACGGUCCUAAGGUAGCGAAAUUCCUUGUCGGGUAAGUUCCGACCUGCACGAAUGGCGUAAUGAUGGCCAGGCUGUCUCCACCCGAGACUCAGUGAAAUUGAACUCGCUGUGAAGAUGCAGUGUACCCGCGGCAAGACGGAAAGACCCCGUGAACCUUUACUAUAGCUUGACACUGAACAUUGAGCCUUGAUGUGUAGGAUAGGUGGGAGGCUUUGAAGCGUGGACGCCAGUCUGCGUGGAGCCAACCUUGAAAUACCACCCUUUAAUGUUUGAUGUUCUAACGUUGGCCCCUUACCGGGGUUGCGGACAGUGUCUGGUGGGUAGUUUGACUGGGGCGGUCUCCUCCCAAAGCGUAACGGAGGAGCACGAAGGUUAGCUAAUCCUGGUCGGACAUCAGGAGGUUAGUGCAAUGGCAUAAGCUAGCUUGACUGCGAGCGUGACGGCGCGAGCAGGUGCGAAAGCAGGUCAUAGUGAUCCGGUGGUUCUGAAUGGAAGGGCCAUCGCUCAACGGAUAAAAGGUACUCCGGGGAUAACAGGCUGAUACCGCCCAAGAGUUCAUAUCGACGGCGGUGUUUGGCACCUCGAUGUCGGCUCAUCACAUCCUGGGGCUGAAGUAGGUCCCAAGGGUAUGGCUGUUCGCCAUUUAAAGUGGUACGCGAGCUGGGUUUAGAACGUCGUGAGACAGUUCGGUCCCUAUCUGCCGUGGGCGCUGGAGAAUUGAGGGGGGCUGCUCCUAGUACGAGAGGACCGGAGUGGACGCAUCACUGGUGUUCGGGUUGUCAUGCCAAUGGCACUGCCCGGUAGCUAAAUGCGGAAGAGAUAAGUGCUGAAAGCAUCUAAGCACGAAACUUGCCCCGAGAUGAGUUCUCCCUGAGACUUUAAGUCUCCUGAAGGAACGUUGAAGACGACGACGUUGAUAGGCCGGGUGUGUAAGCGCAGCGAUGCGUUGAGCUAACCGGUACUAAUGAACCGUGAGGCUUAACCU